Molecule: ribosomal RNA, 370 nt
Filed under: uncultured organism
Description: bacterial SSU rRNA
Rfam family: Bacterial small subunit ribosomal RNA
Source: RNAcentral
CGUAGGCAGCAAGCGUUGUUCGGAAUUACUGGGCGUAAAGAGUGUGUAGGCGGUGCUCUAAGUUCGGUGUGAAAUCUCCCGGCUUAACUGGGAGGGUGCGCCGGAAACUGGAGUGCUCGAGCGUGGGAGAGGAAAGCGGAAUUCCUGGUGUAGCGGUGAAAUGCGUAGAUAUCAGGAGGAACACCUGUGGUGUAGACAGCUUUCUGGACCAUAGCUGACGCUGAGACACGAAAGCGUGGGUAGCAAACAGGAUUAGAUACCCUGGUAGUCCACGCCCUAAACGAUGCAUACUUGGUGUCGGCCAUUCAGUUGGUCGGUGCCGGAGCUAACGCGUUAAGUAUGCCGCCUGGGGAGUACGGUCGCAAGGCUG